AAUGGAGAGUUUGAUCCUGGCUCAGGACGAACGCUGGAGGUAUGCCUCAUACAUGCAAGUCGAACGGACUUGUGGAGCUUGCUCCAUAAGUUAGUGGCGCACGGGUGAGUAACGCGUGGGUAACCUGCCUUUCAAUCUGGGAUAACACUGUGAAAACAGUGCUAAUACCGGAUAAUAAGUUUAGUCGUAUGACUGAAUUUUAAAAGAUGCCCUAUUAACAAUGGUAUCGUUGAGAGAGGGGCCUGCGUACUAUUAGCUAGUUGGUAAGGUAAAAGCUUACCAAGGCAAAGAUGGUUAGCCGGCUUGAGAGAGUGAUCGGCCACACUGGAACUGAGACACGGUCCAGACUCCUACGGGAGGCAGCAGUAGGGAAUAUUCCGCAAUGGGCGAAAGCCUGACGGAGCAAUACCUCGUGAGUGAUGAAGGGUUUAGGCUCGUAAAGCUCAGUCAGCAGGGAAGAAGGUUGUGCGUUUGAAUAAGGCGUAUGAUUUGACGGUACCUGCAGAGGAAGCAACGGCUAAUUACGUGCCAGCAGCCGCGGUAAUACGUAAGUUGCUAGCGUUGUCCGGAUUUACUGGGCGUAAAGAACGCGUAGGCGGUUCGUUAAGUUGAAGGUGAAAUCGUUGGGCCCAACCCAGCAACUGCCUUCAAAACUGAUGAACUAGAGUGCAGGAGGGGAAGAUGGUAUUCCUGGUGUAGCGGUGAAAUGCGUAGAUAUCAGGGAGAACACCAAUGGCGAAAGCAGUCUUCUGGAAUGCAACUGACGCUGAGGCGUGAAAGCGUGGGGAGCGAACAGGAUUAGAUACCCUGGUAGUCCACGCCGUAAACGAUGGGUACUAGUUGUUGGGAUCAUAGGAUCUCAGUGACCAAGCUAACGUAUUAAGUACCCCGCCUGGGGAGUACGGUCGCAAGAUUAAAACUCAAAGGAAUUGACGGGGGCCCGCACAAGCGGUGGAGUAUGUGGUUUAAUUCGAUGCAACGCGGAGAACCUUACCUAGUCUUGACAUCCCAUGCAAACUGUAGAGAUAUUGUGUUCGGUAUUUAUAUCGACAUGGUGACAGGUGGUGCAUGGCUGUCGUCAGCUCGUGUCGUGAGAUGUUCGGUUAAGUCCGGUAACGAGCGCAACCCUUGUCUUCAGUUGCCAGCGCGUAAUGGCGGGAACUUUGGAGAGACUGUCCCUAAUGGGGAAGGAAGGUGGGGAUGACGUCAAGUCAGCAUGCCCCUUAUGACUAGGGCUACACACGUACUACAAUGGUCGAUACAACGAGGAGCGAAGCAGUGAUGUGGAGCAAAACUCUAAAAGUCGGUCCAAGUUCGGAUUGGAGUCUGCAACUCGACUCCAUGAAGUUGGAAUCGCUAGUAAUCGCGGAUCAGCAUGCCGCGGUGAAUACGUUCCCGGGCCUUGUACACACCGCCCGUCACACCACCCGAGUUGAAUGCACCCGAAGUGGCUGACCCAACCUGUUUACAGGAGGGAGGUUCCUAAGGAGUGUUCAGUGAGGGGGGUGAAGUCGUAACAAGGUAUCCCUACGGGAACGUGGGGAUGGAUCACCUCCUUUCAAGGAG
This 1566-nucleotide ribosomal RNA is filed under the name Candidatus Cloacimonadota bacterium. Its description in RNAcentral is "bacterial SSU rRNA". It matches the Rfam family "Bacterial small subunit ribosomal RNA". The record is from RNAcentral. Lineage: Bacteria; Pseudomonadati; Candidatus Cloacimonadota.